Non-coding RNA from Paralichthys olivaceus (Japanese flounder), 447 nucleotides. The record is from RefSeq and is a predicted model, not a curated record. NCBI's taxonomy places the organism in Eukaryota, Metazoa, Chordata, Actinopteri, Pleuronectiformes, Paralichthyidae.
UCCACAGACUACGUUCAAUGCCCUUACUGUCAGCGGAGGUUCAACGAGGGUGCGGCCGACAGACACAUCAAGUUCUGCCAGGAAAAGGCUGCCUGUAAUCCCAACAAGAGCAAGCUAGGAGAGGCCAAGAAGACUCCUGGCCGUACACAGUACAAGCCUCCAACUCCUGUAAAGAAGACCAACUCUACAUCAACCAUCCCCUCAGCCUCUACUCGUUUACCCCAGAGAUCAGCUCUUGGACAGCCCACUGGAAUCCCUGCUGGUAAGGUCUCCUCUGCAGGUUUGGUGAAGACAAAUCCCACUGGCAUCACAAGCCCUCCAUCAGGAGCGGGAACAAAGCAACGAGCAGCAAGUUCGUACGGCUCCGUGAGGAACAUUCAGGCCAAAGUAGGACUCAACAAGAAGAAAGUAGACAACAAUAUAUCCAGGUAAGAAAGAAAGAAAGAG